GAUGAACGCUGGCGGUAUGCUUAACACAUGCGAGUCGAACGGACUCUUCGGAGUUAGUGGCGGACGGGUGAGUAACGCGUGAGAAUCUGGCUUUGGGUUCGGGACAACCACUGGAAACGGUGGCUAAUACCGGAUGUGCCGAGAGGUAAAAGAGAAAUUGCCUGAAGAUGAGCUCGCGUCUGAUUAGCUAGUUGGUGAGGUAAAGGCUCACCAAGGCAGCGAUCAGUAGCUGGUCUGAGAGGAUGACCAGCCACACUGGGACUGAGACACGGCCCAGACUCCUACGGGAGGCAGAAGUGGGGAAUUUUCCGCAAUGGGCGAAAGCCUGACGGAGCAAUACCGCGUGAGGGAAGAAGGCUCUUGGGGUGUAAACCUCUUUUCUUAGGGAAGAACAAAAUGACGGUACCUAAGGAAUCAGCAUCGGCUAACUCCGUG
This 435-nucleotide ribosomal RNA is filed under the name uncultured bacterium. Its description in RNAcentral is "partial 16S ribosomal RNA". It matches the Rfam family "Bacterial small subunit ribosomal RNA", at positions 28 to 507 of the family's 1533-position model. The record is from RNAcentral.